AUAAGGUCAAGUUAGUAAGGGCAUACGGUGGAUGCCUAGGCGCUGAGAGGCGAAGAAGGGCGCGGAUAACUGCGAAAAGCCACGGUGAGCCGUAAGCAGGCAUAGACCCGUGGAUACCCGAAUGGGGCAACCCGUCCGGAGUCAUAUCCGGACAUCGCUGACUGAAUCCAUAGGUCAGCGAAGCCAACCCGGGGAACUGAAACAUCUAAGUACCCGGAGGAAAAGAAAUCAAGCGAGAUUCCCCCAGUAGCGGCGAGCGAACGGGGAAGAGCCUAAACCGUUUCUUCGGAAGCGGGGUUGCGGGACCUUCAUCCCGAAUGAAUCAUCCUAGUCGAAGCGGUCUGGAAAGGCCUGGCACAGCAGGUAACACCCCUGUAGGCGAAAGGACGAGCCAUUCCGAAGGGAUCCCAAGUACCGCGGGGCACGUGAAAUCCCGUGGGAAUCCGGGGGGACCACCCUCCAAGGCUAAAUACUCCUCAGCGACCGAUAGUGAACCAGUACCGUGAGGGAAAGGUGAAAAGCACCCCGGAAGGGGAGUGAAAGAGAACCUGAACCCGUAUGCUUACAAGCAGUCGGAGC
This 579-nucleotide ribosomal RNA is filed under the name Heliobacterium mobile. Its description in RNAcentral is "Heliobacillus mobilis partial 23S ribosomal RNA". It matches the Rfam family "Bacterial large subunit ribosomal RNA", at positions 1 to 580 of the family's 2925-position model. Lineage: Bacteria; Bacillati; Bacillota; Clostridia; Eubacteriales; Heliobacteriaceae. The record is from RNAcentral.